Oncorhynchus keta (chum salmon) is the source of this 498-nucleotide long non-coding RNA. RefSeq lists it as uncharacterized. NCBI's taxonomy places the organism in Eukaryota, Metazoa, Chordata, Actinopteri, Salmoniformes, Salmonidae. The record is from RefSeq and is a predicted model, not a curated record. The transcript has 3 exons.
UAUAGGGCUAAUGUCCUGACAGAAGGUUAGAGGGAUAAUGGCCUGACAGAAGGUUAGAGGGAUAAUUUCCUGACAGAAGGUUAGAGGGAUAAUUUCCUGACAGAAGGUUAGAGGGAUAAUUUCCUGACAGAAGGAUGGAGGGAUAAUGUCCUGACAGAAGGAUGGAGGGAUAAUUUCCUGACAGAGGAAGGAGGGAUAAUGUCCUGACAGAAGGAUAGAUGGAUAAUGUCCUGAUAGAAUGAUAGAGGGAUAAUGUCUGACAGAAUGAUAGAUGGAUAAUGUCCUGACAGAAGGAUGGAGGAUCAUGUCCUGACAGAAUGAUAGAGGGAUAAUGUCCUGACAGAAGGAUAGAGGGAUAAUGUCCUGACAGAAUGAUAGAGGAAUAAUGUCCUGACAGAAUGAUAGAGGGAUAAUGUCCCACAGAAGGAUAGAGGGAUAAUGUCCUGACAGAGGGUGGAGGAUAAUGUCCUGACAGAGGAUGGAGGGAUAAUGUCCUGA